AUGGUGAAGGGACGCACGGGGCAGCUCGUCAGGCUCUACGUCCGGGGCACCAUCCUCAGCUUCAAGAGGUCGAAGUCGAACCAGUACGAGAGCACGUUGCUGGUGCAGGUCGAGGGGGUGAACACCAAGGAGGACGUGGCGUGGUACGGUGUCGCCGCGAUGGAAGAAGCCUCCUCCGCUCUGCUCUGCUCGCCGAGGGACGACACCCACUACCGCUGCCUCUGGGGCAAGAUCACCCGCCCGCACGGCAACUCCGGCGUCGUCCGCGCCUAG
This 273-nucleotide ribosomal RNA is filed under the name Triticum aestivum (bread wheat). RNAcentral's name for it is "partial small subunit ribosomal RNA". The record is from RNAcentral. Lineage: Eukaryota; Viridiplantae; Streptophyta; Magnoliopsida; Poales; Poaceae.